Molecule: ribosomal RNA, 270 nt
Filed under: uncultured archaeon
Lineage: Archaea
Description: partial 16S ribosomal RNA
Rfam family: Bacterial small subunit ribosomal RNA
Source: RNAcentral
CGAGGGUGCAAGCGUUAAACGGAAUUACUGGGCGUAAAGCGCGCGUAGGCGGCUUGGUCAGUCGGAUGUGAAAGCCCCGGGCUUAACCUGGGAAUUGCAUUCGAUACUGCCAGGCUAGAAUGUAGUAGAGGGAAGUGGAAUUCCAGGUGUAGCGGUGAAAUGCGUAGAUAUCUGGAGGAACAUCAGUGGCGAAGGCGACUUCCUGGACUAACAUUGACGCUGAGGUGCGAAAGCGUGGGGAGCAAACAGGAUUAGAUACCCGAGUAGUCC